AUGCAUUAUACUGUGUUUCUCUUCAUGUCUCAUUCACAAAGCACCUUGAAAUGCCAGAAUCAUCAAAAUCUCAAAAAAAAAAAAAAAAAAAAAAAAAAAAAUUUAAAGAAACUGACAAGAACCAGAAUAAAAUCUGAAUGGAAGAAAUAUCUUUUGUCUUUUGCUUCUUGGGAGAGCGUCAGAACCACAGGGAGAGUUCUGGAAGGAAGAACAUAAAAUGCAGAGCCAACAUGAUAAAAAUCAAUCCUAUGAAAGGGAGAUGAUCCUCUUAAGAUUUUAUCUAAUAAUACGAUGACCAACUCCUCUACACCAUAUCCCACCAACCCUCAGUAAAUAUUUAAAGGUAUAUCUUCUAUGAAAGCAUUUUAUUCUACUAUGUCUACUCAGAAAACUGACUGAUUAAAUGUGUACUUGUACCCAAACACCUUAAAUGAUCAUAAAGCAAAUCCUCUGUGUAUUAUUAUCCAGCAUCCCCGAGGCAAGAAGAAUGACUAUUCAUUACUCAUACUAUAUAUUGAAAAACGGGUUGCCACAUUAAGAAAGGGCUUUUUUUUUUUUUUUUUUUUUUUUUUCAGCAAGAGUUUUCAAGACAAAUUAUGAAAGAUUUCAUUUCUGCUGCUUUUCAUCAAUAACAUCAAAUACAUUUUUAUUUGUAAUGAUUUCUGAAAGUAAGACCUAGAUUUAGACCAAAAAAGGAAAAAAAAAAAAAAAAAGGCUGUUACAAAACAAAAAUGCAAUCCCUCUCCCUCCCCCAAAAAGCUCUAAGGAAUGUAAAUUUCAGACUAAGGACAUGAAGCUUAAUGAGGAACUCUAGAGACACACUGCUUUUUAAAAGCUACCCUGGGGAAAACAUGACAGAGUACUGAAGAGGGACCAAUUGCUGUGUAUAGGAAGCAGGCAAAUAUCUAAGCUUCCUCUUUUCUUCUUGAUAAAGCUCAAGCAUUCCUGUAUUAACAACCAAGCAAAAAUAUCCAGUCUUUUCUGCUUAAUCCUGACCUCAUUAGUGUCCUGUUGAUUGUUUAAGAGAAGACUCUCUUUCAUUGUAAAUUCUCUUUCAAACAGUGCUCCCCCCUCCCCAACUUCUCCCCACAGGCCUUUAAUUGUGCAGACUACAGACAUUUGACAAGUAUGACAACUACUUUGAAUUAAUGCUGUAAGAUUAUUUAUGUGCUGCCUUAAUUUUAAAGAGCAAACCUGAUUAAAACCAAACCCGUGAGUUCAAGGAUUCUGUAAAAGAGCUGCAGAAUCAGCAGCACAUGAUGGGCAUUUCCAGCAAAAGACCAUUUUACUAAGACGUUUCAAAGAAAAAUGGCAAUAAAUCAUUGCCUGUAUCAAUUACA
This 1340-nucleotide long non-coding RNA is filed under the name Anas platyrhynchos platyrhynchos (common mallard). RNAcentral describes it as "lncRNA (ENSAPLG00000030088.1)". Lineage: Eukaryota; Metazoa; Chordata; Aves; Anseriformes; Anatidae. The record is from RNAcentral.